AUUGAACGCUGGCGGCAGGCCUAACACAUGCAAGUCGAGCGGUAGCACAGAGAGCUUGCUCUCGGGUGACGAGCGGCGGACGGGUGAGUAAUGUCUGGGAAACUGCCUGAUGGAGGGGGAUAACUACUGGAAACGGUAGCUAAUACCGCAUAACGUCGCAAGACCAAAGUGGGGGACCUUCGGGCCUCAUGCCAUCAGAUGUGCCCAGGUGGGAUUAGCUAGUAGGUGGGGUAAUGGCUCACCUAGGCGACGAUCCCUAGCUGGUCGGAGGGGAUGCCCAGCCACACUGGAACUGAGACACGGUCAAGACUCCUACGGGAGGCAGCAGUGGGGAAUAUUGCACAAUGGGCGCAAGCCUGAUGCAGCCAUGCCGCGUGUGUGAAGAAGGCCUUCGGGUUGUAAAGCACUUUCAGCGGGGAGGAAGGCGGUGAGGUUAAUAACCUCAUCGAUUGACGUUACCCGCAGAAGAAGCACCGGCUAACUCCGUGCCAGCCGCCGCGGUAA
This 504-nucleotide ribosomal RNA is filed under the name uncultured bacterium. Its description in RNAcentral is "partial 16S ribosomal RNA". It matches the Rfam family "Bacterial small subunit ribosomal RNA", at positions 29 to 523 of the family's 1533-position model. The record is from RNAcentral.